GGUGCUGCAUGGUUGUCGUCAGCUCGUGCCGUGAGGUGUCCGGGUUAAGUCCCAUAACGAGCGCAACCCUUAUCGUUAGUUGCCAUCUGGUAAUGCAGGGGACUCUAGCGAAACUGCCACCGUAAGGUGAGAGGAAGGUGGGGAUGACGUCAAAUCAGCACGGCCCUUAUGUCCAGGGCUACACACGUGUUACAAUGGUCGGUACAGAGGGCAGCUACCUGGUGACAGGAUGCUAAUCUCGAAAACCGGUCUCAGUUCGGAUCGAAGUCUGCAACUCGACUUCGUGAAGCUGGAUUCGCUAGUAAUCGCGCAUCAGCUAUGGCGCGGUGAAUACGUUCCCGGGCCUU
Molecule: ribosomal RNA, 347 nt
Filed under: uncultured Sphingobacteriales bacterium
Lineage: Bacteria; Pseudomonadati; Bacteroidota; Sphingobacteriia; Sphingobacteriales
Description: bacterial SSU rRNA
Rfam family: Bacterial small subunit ribosomal RNA
Source: RNAcentral